GACGAACGCUGGCGGCGUGCCUAAUACAUGCAAGUAGAACGCUGAAGAGAGGAGCUUGCUCUUCUUGGAUGAGUUGCGAACGGGUGAGUAACGCGUAGGUAACCUGCCUUGUAGCGGGGGAUAACUAUUGGAAACGAUAGCUAAUACCGCAUAACAAUGGAUGACACAUGUCAUUUAUUUGAAAGGGGCAAUUGCUCCACUACAAGAUGGACCUGCGUUGUAUUAGCUAGUAGGUGAGGUAAUGGCUCACCUAGGCGACGAUACAUAGCCGACCUGAGAGGGUGAUCGGCCACACUGGGACUGAGACACGGCCCAGACUCCUACGGGAGGCAGCAGUAGGGAAUCUUCGGCAAUGGGGGCAACCCUGACCGAGCAACGCCGCGUGAGUGAAGAAGGUUUUCGGAUCGUAAAGCUCUGUUGUAAGUCAAGAACGGGUGUGAGAGUGGAAAGUUCACACUGUGACGGUAGCUUACCAGAAAGGGACGGCUAACUACGUGCCAGCAGCCGCGGUAAUACGUAGGUCCCGAGCGUUGUCCGGAUUUAUUGGGCGUAAAGCGAGCGCAGGCGGUUUGAUAAGUCUGAAGUUAAAGGCUGUGGCUCAACCAUAGUUCGCUUUGGAAACUGUCAAACUUGAGUGCAGAAGGGGAGAGUGGAAUUCCAUGUGUAGCGGUGAAAUGCGUAGAUAUAUGGAGGAACACCGGUGGCGAAAGCGGCUCUCUGGUCUGUAACUGACGCUGAGGCUCGAAAGCGUGGGGAGCGAACAGGAUUAGAUACCCUGGUAGUCCACGCCGUAAACGAUGAGUGCUAGGUGUUGGAUCCUUUCCGGGAUUCAGUGCCGCAGCUAACGCAUUAAGCACUCCGCCUGGGGAGUACGACCGCAAGGUUGAAACUCGAAGGAAUUGACGGGGGCCCGCACAAGCGGUGGAGCAUGUGGUUUAAUUCGAAGCAACGCGAAGAACCUUACCAGGUCUUGACAUCCCGAUGCUAUUUCUAGAGAUAGAAAGUUACUUCGGUACAUCGGUGACAGGUGGUGCAUGGUUGUCGUCAGCUCGUGUCGUGAGAUGUUGGGUUAAGUCCCGCAACGAGCGCAACCCCUAUUGUUAGUUGCCAUCAUUCAGUUGGGCACUCUAGCGAGACUGCCGGUAAUAAACCGGAGGAAGGUGGGGAUGACGUCAAAUCAUCAUGCCCCUUAUGACCUGGGCUACACACGUGCUACAAUGGUUGGUACAACAAGUUGCGAGUCGGUGACGGCGAGCUAAUCUCUUAAAGCCAAUCUCAGUUCGGAUUGUAGGCUGCAACUCGCCUACAUGAAGUCGGAAUCGCUAGUAAUCGCGGAUCAGCACGCCGCGGUGAAUACGUUCCCGGGCCU
RNAcentral lists this ribosomal RNA (1369 nucleotides) under uncultured bacterium. RNAcentral describes it as "bacterial SSU rRNA". It matches the Rfam family "Bacterial small subunit ribosomal RNA", at positions 28 to 1381 of the family's 1533-position model. The record is from RNAcentral.